Molecule: ribosomal RNA, 1882 nt
Filed under: Escherichia coli
Lineage: Bacteria; Pseudomonadati; Pseudomonadota; Gammaproteobacteria; Enterobacterales; Enterobacteriaceae
Description: partial 23S ribosomal RNA
Rfam family: Bacterial large subunit ribosomal RNA
Source: RNAcentral
CGAGAUUCCCCCAGUAGCGGCGAGCGAACGGGGAGCAGCCCAGAGCCUGAAUCAGUGUGUGUGUUAGUGGAAGCGUCUGGAAAGGCGCGCGAUACAGGGUGACAGCCCCGUACACAAAAAUGCACAUGCUGUGAGCUCGAUGAGUAGGGCGGGACACGUGGUAUCCUGUCUGAAUAUGGGGGGACCAUCCUCCAAGGCUAAAUACUCCUGACUGACCGAUAGUGAACCAGUACCGUGAGGGAAAGGCGAAAAGAACCCCGGCGAGGGGAGUGAAAAAGAACCUGAAACCGUGUACGUACAAGCAGUGGGAGCACGCUUAGGCGUGUGACUGCGUACCUUUUGUAUAAUGGGUCAGCGACUUAUAUUCUGUAGCAAGGUUAACCGAAUAGGGGAGCCGAAGGGAAACCGAGUCUUAACUGGGCGUUAAGUUGCAGGGUAUAGACCCGAAACCCGGUGAUCUAGCCAUGGGCAGGUUGAAGGUUGGGUAACACUAACUGGAGGACCGAACCGACUAAUGUUGAAAAAUUAGCGGAUGACUUGUGGCUGGGGGUGAAAGGCCAAUCAAACCGGGAGAUAGCUGGUUCUCCCCGAAAGCUAUUUAGGUAGCGCCUCGUGAAUUCAUCUCCGGGGGUAGAGCACUGUUUCGGCAAGGGGGUCAUCCCGACUUACCAACCCGAUGCAAACUGCGAAUACCGGAGAAUGUUAUCACGGGAGACACACGGCGGGUGCUAACGUCCGUCGUGAAGAGGGAAACAACCCAGACCGCCAGCUAAGGUCCCAAAGUCAUGGUUAAGUGGGAAACGAUGUGGGAAGGCCCAGACAGCCAGGAUGUUGGCUUAGAAGCAGCCAUCAUUUAAAGAAAGCGUAAUAGCUCACUGGUCGAGUCGGCCUGCGCGGAAGAUGUAACGGGGCUAAACCAUGCACCGAAGCUGCGGCAGCGACGCUUAUGCGUUGUUGGGUAGGGGAGCGUUCUGUAAGCCUGUGAAGGUGUGCUGUGAGGCAUGCUGGAGGUAUCAGAAGUGCGAAUGCUGACAUAAGUAACGAUAAAGCGGGUGAAAAGCCCGCUCGCCGGAAGACCAAGGGUUCCUGUCCAACGUUAAUCGGGGCAGGGUGAGUCGACCCCUAAGGCGAGGCCGAAAGGCGUAGUCGAUGGGAAACAGGUUAAUAUUCCUGUACUUGGUGUUACUGCGAAGGGGGGACGGAGAAGGCUAUGUUGGCCGGGCGACGGUUGUCCCGGUUUAAGCGUGUAGGCUGGUUUUCCAGGCAAAUCCGGAAAAUCAAGGCUGAGGCGUGAUGACGAGGCACUACGGUGCUGAAGCAACAAAUGCCCUGCUUCCAGGAAAAGCCUCUAAGCAUCAGGUAACAUCAAAUCGUACCCCAAACCGACACAGGUGGUCAGGUAGAGAAUACCAAGGCGCUUGAGAGAACUCGGGUGAAGGAACUAGGCAAAAUGGUGCCGUAACUUCGGGAGAAGGCACGCUGAUACGUAGGUGAAGUCCCUCGCGGAUGGAGCUGAAAUCAGUCGAAGAUACCAGCUGGCUGCAACUGUUUAUUAAAAACACAGCACUGUGCAAACACGAAAGUGGACGUAUACGGUGUGACGCCUGCCCGGUGCCGGAAGGUUAAUUGAUGGGGUCAGCGCAAGCGAAGCUCUUGAUCGAAGCCCCGGUAAACGGCGGCCGUAACUAUAACGGUCCUAAGGUAGCGAAAUUCCUUGUCGGGUAAGUUCCGACCUGCACGAAUGGCGUAAUGAUGGCCAGGCUGUCUCCACCCGAGACUCAGUGAAAUUGAACUCGCUGUGAAGAUGCAGUGUACCCGCGGCAAGACGGAAAGACCCCGUGAACCUUUACUAUAGCUUGACACUGAACAUUGAGCCUUGAUG